UGGCAAGAAACUGUAGAAGCUACAGUCAUCGGUAGCAAAGAAACACAAGAAAAUGUGCUAAUAAAAGCUAUAAAUAACCCUCGUACGCCUAUGCACAUCUCCAUCACCACCACUGGUCUUCAUUCAGCCUAUUAACUUAUAUCUAUCUACUCCAGAGCAGACAAGAACUCGACACCAUGAAGGUGUUGCUCGUUGCCCUCGCUCUCCUGGCUCUCGCGGCGAGCGCCGCCUCCACGCUUACAACCGGCGGCUGCGGCUGCCAGACACCUCAUCUACCACCACCGCCGGUUCAUCUGCCGCCGCCGGUGCAUCUGCCACCGCCGGUGCACCUGCCGCCGCCGGUUCACGUGCCACCGCCGCCACCACAAUGCCACCCACACCCUACUCUACCGCCCCACCCACAUCCAUGCGCUACAUACCCACCGCAUCCAAGCCCGUGCCACCCAGGGCAUCCCGGAUCCUGCGGUGUUGGCGGCGGCCCCGUCAC
RNAcentral lists this long non-coding RNA (487 nucleotides) under Sorghum bicolor (sorghum). Its description in RNAcentral is "long non-coding RNA (SBIC_LNC003607)". The record is from RNAcentral. Lineage: Eukaryota; Viridiplantae; Streptophyta; Magnoliopsida; Poales; Poaceae.